Molecule: long non-coding RNA, 3280 nt
Organism: Thunnus maccoyii (southern bluefin tuna)
Lineage: Eukaryota; Metazoa; Chordata; Actinopteri; Scombriformes; Scombridae
Exons: 2
Source: RefSeq, a predicted model, not a curated record
AUAAGGUAUACAGCAAUAGGAGGUUUUAUCGAUAUUGUCCACUUUUAUUUAUUUAUUUAUUCAUUUAUUUAUAUUAUUCCAACCAACACUUUUCCAUCUCUUUCACAAUCUUUAACAAAAAGCUAGAUGGACUGAUCCUCUUGCAAUUAUUUUGCAAUUUUUUUCUACCAUAUCCUGCUCUGUUAUAUAUGCCAUUUAUUUAAAAAAAAGAUUGUAUUAACACUUGUGAAAGUAAACUGGGCGCUUUCCCUGAUUUAUAUUCAAUUCUUAAUUAUGUGAAUGAGCGUGUAUAAAGAAGCUCUGCAGCAUGUUAAUGUUAAUAAGCUGGUCGUUGUGGAUUUGUCUUGGUAUGGCUGUGAGGAAUAUAAGUCUCGGGACUUGAUCUCUCCACAUCCACCAGGAAUGCGACGGACGCGCUGCUGCGUCUCACGGGUCCCGCAGGGAUGUGUUCCCUGUACAGCACGUUAGAGAUAUCUGCCAGGUCCAGCAGCUCGCAGUAACCGCAUCUGUUAUCUGUUACCACACCGUAGCUGAUCAGAGUGCCAUUUUCAUCAAACGGUAAUAAUACGUGGACACUGAAAGUUGCCUUCCACUCAUCCCUCCAACCCGGUAAAACUGCGGAUAAUCCAUCCCUUUAUCUCCCUUCAAGAUUCCUCUCUGGGUCAGACUCUGGACCGGAGUCAGGUCGUGGCUCAGCUUGUAGGCUACAACUUCUCGUCGGUGGCAUCCUACACGGUGUUGGUGGCCACGGCGAAGUGGCAGACGCCUCCAUCAAAAAUAAAACCUCCAUCUUCCUCCAGGUACCAACCAAGAGAAUAAAAAUCAGAUCAGGCAGCUGCAUCAUCUUCUUGCAGCGGUGACACCAAAACGCUUAUACUUUGACGGCCUGCAUGCACUCCGCCACAGUGUCACUGGAGUCGUGCGUAAAAACGCAGUGCGCGCCAGUUGCAAAGAGAAGUGCUGAAAGUGGGAGGGAGAGCCCGAUGAAAGCGAAAACUAUCAGACAUUUUAAUUAUAGGAUAUAACUAUUUUGCAGCAUUGCUGUUUUUACCCUGCUGCAUUUGUCCCUCUUGUUUUACGUUUUCAAACAAAGUCUAUGCAGGACAUGUGUAUGCAGUUAUGGGCUAUGUGUGCGCCUCCGGACAAAUUCAUCUACUAUACGUGAAUAAAUAUUGAUUCUCAAUAAGACAGCAGGCAGUUCGGAUUGUCCUGCUCUAUGACCAAUCCACAUAUAUGAACGGUCCCUGGGAAUUUGACAAUCGUUUGCAUGGCAUAGCCUAUUUUGCCCAUCCAGCCGGUUAUUGAAAACCCCCCGUUUUGGACAGUGAUUCUGUUUCAAUUACACAAAACUCAGGGGAAAAACAGUGAAUGCCCUUUCCCCACGUCCUUCAACAGAUGGGACUUUAGACAUUGUCUGGUGUAAAGUGGUGCGUCCAGCUGAUUUUAGAGACAGACUCCUGACAUAAAGGGGUAAACUGUAUAAUGCUCUAAGAAGUUUUCACUAUCUCAUGGCCAAUAGGGCCUUGUCCACUGACUCCUUAUUUUGAGACCCUACCAUCUCUACCUUUUUGCAGGUAGAAACUAGGCUACUACAGAUAUCUGUUGACAUCUGAGUGACAUCUAGCGUUCACUUUGUGAAUUUCUUUCUUCUAGUUGAUGCACGCAGCGAAUAUGUUGUUGACGAAACAGGGAGGCACCGUGGAUGGAAAGUUUUUGCAGAAAGCUAUGUCUAUUGGGUCUCACGUCAGUGUUUAUGGCACAACUGGGGCAACAGUUCUGCACCAUGGUGUCUUAAGCAAGAUUGGCCUGCCGCUGGAUGAAGCUGUUGGACUUUACUCAAUACCCUCUACAGGUGAGCGUAAAUCUCACUGAGGGUAGCCAUAGCAACACAGGACACCACAGAGGUUUGUCACCUCCAGUAUGACAGCUACACAAACUUGUGGAUAAUGCACAUGAAUAGAACAGGAGAAUCACAGAUGGAUUAGAUACUGGUGCUUACAGCUGACAGUGUUCGCCAAAUGAUUCGUUCCUUUUUGGAAAAGAUGACGGCAGAACAGUGGAGGCUGUUGAAAUCAGGUUCUCCUGAUGAUGCCACAAAGGUCCUGUUGGCAGAGGAAUUGGAAUUCGUAAUAUCCAUUUCAAGUGCAGUACUGACAGGUCUACAGAACACACAUGUGGUCGUCUCUGAGGAGAACAUUCACGCCAGCCUGGGUGACACUGUCCAUCAGAGUUUCGCUCAGGCUCUAGAGAUUCAGGGUGAAGUCCGCCGUGUGAGCUCAGAACGCUUGACAAACCUGAUCAUGGAAAAGGUUGCAGAAAGUGUAAACUCGGCCCUCUCCGAUUGUACUCACACCGAGGAGCCAAUUAUAAUCCAGUGUAAUAUUCCUGCCUGCAGACUGGAUGUUAUGGUUUGUCAUGCCUGCAAAAUGAAAGAAUUCUUGACAAAGGUGAAAAAUUUGUGCCCACCUCUGCCAUGCAGGCCAAGAUAGAAUUGGGCCACUCAUAUACAGAUGGACACAGAGGAAGAAGAUCUGAAGGAGGAUCUAGACUGGGAGGACACUGAUGACUGCUGUGACUCACCAGUGAAAACUGGGGAGGAAGACACUCCAGAGAAUGUUACAUCACAAGACAGCUUUGUGAUAAAAACUAGGAAAGCUGUCCAGGAAAUAAUCAGAAACAAGGAUCAUGAAAUAACAGAAACUCUAUUCGAUGAAGUGAAGGGGUCCAAAUAUAAACUCCUGCAAUCUGAAUCCUCUUUUGAGAUCAAGGCUGUAGUGGCUUAGUUCAUUUGCUUAUUGAAGAGGCAAAGAGUCUGCAACAUUCAGACACUGUGAGUCCAAGAAAAGGAAGUGAGUACAAACUGUGUGCAAAAGGUGUGAAGAGCAGGAUCAAGACAUUUUUUGCAAAGCUGUUUGCCAAAACAUUGAUUCACCGUUUACUGGCACAGCUGAAGUGCAAAUACCUCCACAACUCUGAAGUUGAAAGCAGGCAUUCAGUAUACUAUAUCAUGGAUGAGGAUUUGCUUCUGUGUGAAACUGAGCUUGCGUUUCAAGAGCUUAAAGACAAUUUCCAGCAAGGGAACUCUGGUGAUCAUAAAACAACUCAGAGAUCUCUUCUACACUUACAUUAGGAAGGGGCAGGACAGUGACUAUUCUGGUUUUCUCCCGCUUUCCCCAAAACAAUUCAUCAGUUGGACACUCUUAAUUACCCCCAAAAGCUAAUUGGUUCAUGAUUACAAAAAUAGGGAAAAAAAUCAUUCAAUAAAAGUGUUUAAAUUUCA